This 185-nucleotide unclassified non-coding RNA is filed under the name rhizosphere metagenome. RNAcentral describes it as "partial ribosomal RNA internal transcribed spacer region". The record is from RNAcentral.
GGUGCUUGCAGAAAUGCUUGCACGGCGGCGGCCUUAAAACGCGCCAAAUGGCACCCUUUGUUUAUGAGUACCGUUCGUUUCCUCGGUGGGCUUGCCUGCCACGAGGACCAACAAAAACCUUUGUAGUAGCAGUAUCUUCAGUAAAAACAAAUAUUAAAACUUUCAACAACGGAUCUCUUGGUUCU